RNAcentral lists this unclassified non-coding RNA (364 nucleotides) under uncultured fungus. RNAcentral describes it as "partial contains small subunit ribosomal RNA, internal transcribed spacer 1, and 5.8S ribosomal RNA". The stretch from base 1 to 73 matches the Rfam family "Eukaryotic small subunit ribosomal RNA", at positions 1759 to 1831 of the family's 1831-position model. Lineage: Eukaryota; Fungi. The record is from RNAcentral.
ACAAACUUGGUCAUUUAGAGGAAGUAAAAGUCGUAACAAGGUUUCCGUAGGUGAACCUGCGGAAGGAUCAUUACAAGACAUCCAGAUAUUUUCUUUGAGAUUUCUGGUAAUUCUUUACAUUUUUUGUGUAGACUUUCUUCGGAAGUUUGCGCAAAAUUUGUUUUACCCUUUGUGAACUACUCUCUAUUUGCUUCGGCAGCACCUUGCAGAAGAAAUUCUGUGAAGGGUAAGGCUGUCAGAAGCCCACUAUAAAAUCAGUUGACAAAAUACACAAGAGUCUGAUAUAAUUUUUGAGAAAUCAAAAAAUUCCAUUAAAACUUUCAGCAACGGAUCUCUUGGUUCUCGCAUCGAUGAAGAACGCAGC